CAAUUUUUUUAUGCUGACUUAGAUAAUAAUUUUUAUACCAAAAUAUACUCAUCUCCCUCUUACUCCCUCUGACGAGUUAAAUGGAAAAUGUAUUUUCUUUUGACAUUUUUGCACGUCAUUCUAUCGAAGAAGUUUGUCCAACCUAAGUGGUGAAAAUUUAAAUAUUUUUUUUUUUGAAAUAAAGAAAAGAAAACCACCACCAUAUAAUAAGUAGUGACUUUUUUUAAAUUCAAAGUGCUUAAAUCGCCAAAUUGAAAGCAAACAAAAUUGGAAUUUUUUUAUAUAAAAUUGUGGAGACUCUACGUACUUUAGUCGUUUGACUCACGUUUAAACGUAAAACAGAAAAAUUAAAAUAACAAUUAAGUGGUUGAUUUUCGGCGGUCCAAGAUAUCCAUCUUAGAACUGGACCGCCGCACGUUUUUUUAUAAAAAAAAUUUUGUGGAUUCUUUUAUUGAAUAAUCCUUACUGCCUGAACUGUGGUCAAUUUCGGUUAAUCGUUUUGGAUCUGGGCGAGCGAAAGCCACAUAAAGGACGUGGUUUGAGGUUCCAAUCUAAGAGGUCGGAGCUCUUACGCAGCCAUCCGAGUCGCAUGUCCACCGGAGCACCUCGUCCUUAUAGAGUCCCAGCUGGCUGCAACGUUAAUCCCCAAGAAAAGAUCCUGAAACAAAGAAAAACGAAAUUAGUAAAAGAAACCAGGUCACAUUACGAAUUGCAGUUUGGUUGCUACGAAUUGUCAAACUCUAUUCGCGUUCCACAUACCAUCCACACACACCUCAAAAUUACUCUUGUUUUUGUUUUCUAUUCUGGUCAUGGCUGCGGAGAACAUGGAGAAAAGGGAAUUUGACGAAAAACUAAUUUUGGAAGUUGAAGCCAAUCCAGCUUUGUACAACAAAAGCGAACGUUCCUACUCCGACCGCUACAAAAAGGAAGAAGGAUGGCAAAAUAUUGCAAUUGUUUUGAAUGCAGAUGGUAAAAAAAUCAAAUUCGUUUUUAUUUAUUUUUGCAUUCAACAAAUCUUACUUUCAAUUCAGUGAAACUAUGCAAGGAACGAUGGAAAAAUUUGCGAGACACAUUUGCAAAGUACUAUAAAAAAGAAAAAUACAAUCCUAGUGGCUCACAAGCACCAAUUAAAAUAUCUUGGCCCUACUAUAGGGUUGCCAGAUAUAUUUUGACGAAACUAGUAAUCGAGAUGUAAAAUCCCGGACUUUCCCGGACAAAUAAGGACACAAAAAAGAGUACAAAUCUAGGACAAAAGGAAUGCAUAGUUUUAUAAAAACAAAAAAAAGCGGAACAAUCUUUUCAAAAUUUAACUAAAAAUCACAUUUUUAACCCUUGUUCCCGUAGCAUUUUUUUCUUAUUUUUUUCACAAAAAAAAAAAAAUAAAAGUAAAAAUUUUAGCUAAUAAGCUAAUAUUACAAAAGUUGGAAUGUAGGUACAUAGUUACAGUAAAAAAAUUUUUAAAUUCCAUUAAAAUCCAGUUGCUCAAAAUUUUAAACGAUUAAGAGCCAAUUUUUCAAUCUUCUAAUAAACAGUCAGUUAACUGUUCGACGAAUAAAGUUAUUAGGCUCAUAAACAAUCAGAUAAAAACAUUGAAUUUUUCAAUCAAGAAUAAUUUAAUCUACAGAAUAACAAAAAAAAAUUGUCAAAUUCAAAAAUAUUUAAAAUUAAACGUCAUUUUUAUUCAUGAUUGUUUUUGUUUUCUUGUGUUCCACUGUAUUUUUUUCAAAAUUCUUUCAAAACAGCUUUGACAACAGACACAAUAUUUUUGUUGAGAUUAUUUCUUAGAAUAAUUUUUAUUCGUCUCUGAAAGAAGCAGAUAGUUUUAUUCUAAGGAAUAAGCUAUAUCUGCUUGUUGAAAAAUUGAUUUUUUCUCUAUCCUUAGGAAUAAGUACUAAAUGACUGUUUAACUGACUAUUGAAAAAUUGGCGCUUAGUUAAAUGCUAAUAGAAUUUUUAGUAAGUUACUUUUUAUGUUAAGAAAUGGUCUUUUUGACUUAGCAACUUACUUAAGCGGCCUUAUAUUUUUCUUAAUCGUUUAAAAUUUUGCACCUUGAGUCUUAUGUCGUUUUCGAUUGGUUUCACUCAAGGAUUCACUCAUUCUGAAAUCGAAUGGAACAGGUCAAAUCGCUUGCACUCAAUUCUGUUUUUUUUUUCUGUGUUUGUGUAUUUUCUUUUAAAUUUCAAAUGUCAAAUAUUUAUAUUAAUUUAUUUUUCUUUCAAAUGAAAUGUUUUAAAUUUUUUUUAAAAUUGGUAAUGUUCAAGAAAUUAAUAGUGAAAUUGGUUUCCAAAAUAUUUUAAGCAAGUUUGAAAAUUAAUUAAAAAAUUUAUUUCGGAAAAAAAUUAAUAUAUUUCAAAAAAUAAAAAAAAUAUUGAUUGAGUGAUUAAUUUGACUUUUAAAUAUUCGUGUAUUAGUGCUUCUCGAGUGAAUUCCGGUUUUAAAUCGGGAAGAGAAUUUCUCUUCUGAGAAGCGUUCUGCCUGUCAUAUUCGUGCGAAUAAAACGCUUUCAGAAGGCUUCUGAAUGAUUCCGGACGCUUCCGGAGAGCCAAUCGAAAACGACAUUACAAUAAGGUACCUACUGUAAUAAAUAAUAAAAUUUAAAUAAAUUAUUAAAAUAAAUUUUUGUUGGUCAGAGAAUUCACUAACCAGUACCUCAUACGCACAUUUUUGAGUUUUGAUUAUAUUGGAACAGAACACAAAAAAGAAUUGAGCAGAUAAUAGACCAAAAUAAAAACGCCUCGCUUUUAAUGAACUCGAUUCGCUUUUUGAAUAAGGAAUGAAUUAAGAGUAGCAUACAAAAAGUGAGAUUUUUAAAGGCUUCAAAAGAGUACAAUCCCGGACAAUUGAUAGAAACUAUCCCGGACGUCCCCCACACAGCCAAAAAAGAGUACAUGUCCGGGAAAACCCGGACGCAUGGCAACCCUACCCUACUAUGAGAUAAUGAAAUUUCUGAUCCCAAAUGUGGAAGUGCCAAGAACUUUCGGGAACAUGGAGAAGGAGGGAGACACAAAUAAUGAAGUCUUCGCGACAGUUCCUACGGAGGAAGAAAUAACAACACCCUCGAAUAAGCGACCAAAUAGUUCUCCCACUGCACAAAAGCCGACAAAAAAAAAAUAAAAAAAAAUCAGAAUCAGACGCUGAUAGAUUUUUGGCGGCAUUGAGUGGGAUGAGUGAACCCGAGACCCAACCGUUGGAGAAGUUUUUUUUAUCUCUUGCGCAACGCGCAAGUUCCUGGAGCCGAAAAAAACAAUCCGAUUUGGAAAUGUUGACUCUGCAAGUUUUCCAUCAAAUCGAA
Molecule: long non-coding RNA, 3292 nt
Organism: Episyrphus balteatus (marmalade hoverfly)
Lineage: Eukaryota; Metazoa; Arthropoda; Insecta; Diptera; Syrphidae
Exons: 6
Source: RefSeq, a predicted model, not a curated record